Molecule: transfer RNA, 76 nt
Filed under: Vibrio parahaemolyticus
Lineage: Bacteria; Pseudomonadati; Pseudomonadota; Gammaproteobacteria; Vibrionales; Vibrionaceae
Also listed under: 1 other name
Description: tRNA-Gly
Rfam family: tRNA
About the family: Transfer RNA (tRNA) molecules are approximately 80 nucleotides in length. Their secondary structure includes four short double-helical elements and three loops (D, anti-codon, and T loops). Further hydrogen bonds mediate the characteristic L-shaped molecular structure. tRNAs have two regions of fundamental functional importance: the anti-codon, which is responsible for specific mRNA codon recognition, and the 3' end, to which the tRNAs corresponding amino acid is attached (by aminoacyl-tRNA synthetases). tRNAs cope with the degeneracy of the genetic code in two manners: having more than one tRNA (with a specific anti-codon) for a particular amino acid; and 'wobble' base-pairing, i.e. permitting non-standard base-pairing at the 3rd anti-codon position.
Source: RNAcentral
GCGUAUAUAGCUCAGUUGGUAGAGCACUGCCCUUCCAAGUCAGGUGUCGAGGGUUCGAACCCCUUUAUACGCUCCA